RNAcentral lists this long non-coding RNA (837 nucleotides) under Setaria italica (foxtail millet). RNAcentral's name for it is "long non-coding RNA (SITA_LNC000884)". Lineage: Eukaryota; Viridiplantae; Streptophyta; Magnoliopsida; Poales; Poaceae. The record is from RNAcentral.
GAGAGUGUGGUACGAUGAGGUGGUGUUUCAUGGUGACACAUAUAUAAAGAGGGAAUUCCUUUUUUUUCAGAUUUACUACUCUUCAAAUGCUUGAUUUUUAGAUAUCUCUCAAUCACCAACAUUAUACCAGAAAUUGAAUUGGUGAUUGGAAUUUCAGGUUAGGGUUUGGGAGUUUGGGGUGGGGGAUUUACCUGUGACCCUCGGGUCUAGAGGAAGCUUCAGGGAGGCUCGCCGGCUGGCGGUGGAGGUUGGAGAGACGGUAGUGGAGCGGAGGCGGCAUGCGCGCUACCGGAGCAGGGCGGUGGAGGAUCCCCGGUGGGUGGCAGAUGCGGCAGGGGAGUAUGAGCCAAGCAGAUUAGCAUUGGGUGGCAGAGGUCAGCGAUGGCGGAGGUGGUCGAGGCCGCCGGAGCCGAGCGGGAGGUCAGCGGCAGCGGGGUAGUUGCGUGGCUCUGCGCGAGGUAGACACUGGGAGGAAGACGUACGGGAGAAAUAGAAAGAAUAGAGAAGGAAAGAAAGGGUGGAUAUGUACCCUUGGAUGUAGAUCCAACAGUUUUAGGGAGUGAUUGAGAGAAAAGCAAAUCUCAAAUGUGUGGCAAGGAGUUUUUUUUAUAAACUAAAUUCUGUUAUCAUUGGAGGCACAGUUUGGUCAUGGUGCAUGUGCACAUUGGUCAGUCAUGCACGAAACAGAUUGAUGCAGCGCAACAGUUAGGGUUGUCUCCUGAAAAAGAAAUAUCAGUCCUGAAUUGACAGUUGGAGGCAACUAGCUUCCCAAUCACAAAUUCACACAUGUAAAAAGAUGUUAACUGUGUGGUGUGAUGAAUCACAGUUUAAUUCACA